RNAcentral lists this ribosomal RNA (301 nucleotides) under uncultured bacterium. RNAcentral describes it as "partial 16S ribosomal RNA". It matches the Rfam family "Bacterial small subunit ribosomal RNA", at positions 509 to 809 of the family's 1533-position model. The record is from RNAcentral.
CAGUCGCCGCGGUAAAACGUAGGUGGCAAGCGUUGUCCGGAAUUAUUGGGCGUAAGGGGUUCGCAGGCGGUUUCUUAAGUCUGAUGUGAAAGCCCCCGGCUCAACCGGGGAGGGUCAUUGGAAACUGGGAAACUUGAGUGCAGAAGAGGAGAGUGGAAUUCCACGUGUAGCGGUGAAAUGCGUAGAGAUGUGGAGGAACACCAGUGGCGAAGGCGACUCUCUGGUCUGUAACUGACGCUGAGGAGCGAAAGCGUGGGGAGCGAACAGGAUUAGAUACCCCUGUAGUCCCUGUCUCUUAUAA